ACUGUUGGACAGGGGCGCCGAGAGGCUGAGAUGUGCAGACGCACGGUCCCUUCGAACCUGAACUGGGUCAUGCCAGCGUAGGGAGUUCCGGCUGGACAGAC
Molecule: non-coding RNA, 101 nt
Filed under: Faecalibaculum rodentium
Lineage: Bacteria; Bacillati; Bacillota; Erysipelotrichia; Erysipelotrichales; Erysipelotrichaceae
Description: TPP sequence
Rfam family: TPP riboswitch aptamer (THI element)
About the family: Vitamin B(1) in its active form thiamin pyrophosphate (TPP) is an essential coenzyme that is synthesised by coupling of pyrimidine and thiazole moieties in bacteria.
Source: Rfam by way of RNAcentral